GUCCACGCCCUAAACGAUGGAUACUAGACGUUGGGGAGCCUAAUCUCCUCGGUGUCGUAGCUAACGCAUUAAGUAUCCCGCCUGGGAAGUACGGUCGCAAGAUUAAAACUCAAAGGAAUUGACGGGGGCCCGCACAAGCGGUGGAACAUGUGGUUUAAUUCGAUGCUACGCGAAAACCUUACCUAGACUUGACAUCCCGCGCUACCCUGGGAAACCAGGGGUUCUCUUCGGAGACGCGGUGACAGGUGCUGCAUGGCUGUCGU
This 263-nucleotide ribosomal RNA is filed under the name uncultured bacterium. RNAcentral describes it as "partial 16S ribosomal RNA". It matches the Rfam family "Bacterial small subunit ribosomal RNA", at positions 793 to 1055 of the family's 1533-position model. The record is from RNAcentral.